Folsomia candida is the source of this 494-nucleotide long non-coding RNA. RefSeq lists it as uncharacterized. Lineage: Eukaryota; Metazoa; Arthropoda; Collembola; Entomobryomorpha; Isotomidae. The record is from RefSeq and is a predicted model, not a curated record. The transcript has 3 exons.
UAUCUGAUUCAGGAAGAUUGAAUAUCAAUGUUUAUCCAUAAUUAUUACAUAAUUACUUUCUACAUGUUUUGCUAUAAUAAGAUGAACUUAUCAGGAGUACUCGUUUUGUUCGUAUUUUUCAUACUAAAUGAAGAAAUGCAACAAGUAUCUGGUGCAAAUUGUGCAACAGCGGUCCCUUCCUCACUGACCGCUGGUCAAUUUUACGUCCGGAACACGGGAUGCACUACUAUCAAGGAUUCAAAGACUUUGGUCCACCCACCAACCCCACGGUCCGGUGUCACUGUUGGAGCUUUUGCGGCUAUAUUUGCAACAAACACAUGAAUUACGUGGGUAACUAAAUUGGCUACUUAUUUAUUUUGAGUGCUUACAUAAGAAGUAAGUGAAGAACGUAUAAGAUUGCAAACCAAAUGGAUGGACUAAUCUUGUCUAAUAUGGAUUUAAAUCUAACCAGAUAGUAAAUAUGACAAGUAAUAAAGUUAAUGUCAUAAACAUAA